GGUUACAGAGAUAGAAAAAGUGUGUGUGUUUUUUAGAACUUAAAGAUAUAGUUAGAAUGGGUGGUUCAAAAUCAAAAAUGGUGAUAAUGUUUGUUCUGUUAUUAAUAAUAUUAGAAGGUGGGUGGAGUGAAGGAUGUUUGGAUCACGAGAGAUUUGCUCUUUUGCGACUCAAACAUUUCUUCGAUGAUACUGGUAGUUAUCUUUACAACUGGGGAGAUGGUGAGGGAGCUACUGAUUGUUGUCAGUGGGAAAGGGUUGAGUGCAGCAACACCACAGGCCGAGUGAUAGCGCUAGACCUUUUUGGCACGUAUCGGCGAGAGUACAGCUGGUAUUUGAAUGCUUCUUUGUUUACUCCCUUCCAACAACUUGAGUCACUUGAUUUACAUGGCAAAAAUAUAGCUGGUUUUGUUGAGAAUGAAGGUGCUUCGUCUAAUUCAAUUAAAUUACAUUUCGCUCUCCUAAUUUAAGUCGAAUAUCAAGACUGAGCAGCUAUAUGCAUAUUCAUUCAAUUGACAAUUUUUACAUAUUUUUUAAAAUGUUUAAUUUUGAAAUUACACCAAACAUCAUAUGUGAUCUUUGUUUUGAUUUUACUUGCAGGUCUAGAAAGAUUGAGCAACUUGAAGAGGCUUGAUUUAAGUCAUAACUUGUUCAACAAUAGCAUCUUAUCAUCUGUGGCUCAUCUUUCAUCACUAACAUCAUUAGAUUUAUCUGAAAAUAGAUUGGAAGGAAGUAUUAAUGUUAAAGGUACGUAAUUAAAACGUCAUCGCUUUUCCCAACUCUUUCAUUAACAUGUUAAAAUAAGAUUCAAGGCUUUGAAUUCAAUUUUUUUUAUGAGUAAAUAUUAGAAAAAUAGUUUUAAGCAAUUCAUAAAUACAAUUUUCAAUGUUUCUCAUAAUUACUCUAACUGUGAAGCAAAUACCCCAUGACUAAUUUAUCAUUUUGUCCAGUUAAAAAUGAUAAAAUUUAUCAUUUGUUUAUAUUGAUUUAUUAACUCUAUUUUAAGUCUUAAGUCUUGGCGUCUUGGCAUGUUUGCAGAAUUUGAUUCCUUGAGCAACUUAGAGGAGUUGGACAUGAGCUACAAUGAAAUAGACAAUUUCGAGGUUCCUCAAGGUAAACAAUUAAAAUAUUAUUUAAUUACAUUAAUUUAAUUCGUUUGAUUAGGGAAGACCCAAAAUGUACAAAAACAUAAUUAAAAAAAAAUAAAGAAACAGAGAAUUCAUAUUAUUUCAAAAAACAAAAGGUAAUACUAUUAUUUCAAAAAAAGAAUGUAAUAAAGAUUUGAUUCCGGUUCUUUAAUCUUUAUAGCAAUUGAACAACAAUGUUGCUCUUUUCCUAAAGCAUAAAAUAUGAAAUGAGUCAUAAUUGAAUUAGUCAUUUAUUUUGUUUAGAUCUAAAUUUAGACAAUAAAUUUUGAUUUUUUUUUCAAUCCUAUCCUUAUUAUUAUUGUUAAACAGGUUACAGAGGUUUGAGGAAGUUGAAAAGCCUCUAUCUAUCGAAUGUUGGAGUUAGAGAUGGAAGCAAGUUGUUACAGUCUAUGGGAUCAUUCCCAUCCCUCAACACUCUUUACCUGAAGGAUAAUAAUUUUACCGAUAUAGCGACAACUACUACUCAAGGUAAGUAAAAGGUACAUAUGUGGCCAAAUUUAUAAAUAAAUUGUUAAUUAAUUAAUUUUUCCGUAUUAUUAAUAAAGCUAAAUUCGUCGCUCAUUCCUUCUAAUUCUAAACAGAGUUGGCAAUUUCACCAACUUGGAGUAUUUGACAUUGGACUUGUCCUCACUCCAUUUAAGCCUUCUGCAAUUGCUUGAAGAAUGAAUUUAUUUAUUUAUUUAUUAUUAUUAUUAUUGUUGUUGUUGUUGUUGUUGUUGUUGAAGUGAGGUGGGCAAGCGUUCACUCAAUUAAUAUGUGAGGAAUUAAUAAUUACAAUCCAAGGUAGAAUUGUGGAAAAUUAAAGCAAAAUGAGAAAUAUGGAAAGAAAGGAAGAAAGUUAAGGGCAUGAAAGACUAGGAGAAGACUAAAGACCACCAAAUAAGUCAACUGAAAACUAGCUGGGGCCUGGGUGUACAAAUUGUUAGAUGUGUUUGUUAUAAAUAACAUAGAGCCAUCUUGUUGGUUGCAGAGGCAGAGAGACACAGAGUGUGCAUUUUAUUAAUUAAAAAUAUAUAUAAAAUGGGUGGUUCAAAAUCCAAAAUGGUGAUAAUGUUAGUUUUGUUAGUAUUAAUAAUAUUAGAAGGGAGGUGGCGUGAGGGAUGUUUGGUGCAUGAGAGAUUUGGUCUUUCGAGACUUAAAACAUUUCUUCAAUUCUCCUUAUAAUUUUUGUCACGACUGACCGUUGUCAAUAGAAUGGGGCUGGGUGCAGGGUUGAUUUACGUUAGAACAAUAUAGCCGGUAGUGUUGAGAAUGAAGGUGUUUCAUUUAAUUUAAUUAAUUUACUUUCUCCCUCCUAAUUUAAGUGGAAUAUCAAGACAGAACAAUUAUAUGCAUCUUCGUUCAGUUGACAAUUUUGACAUAUUUUUUUAAGUGAUUAAUUUUGAAAUUACACCAAACAUUAUUUGUGAUCUCUGUUUUGACUUUACUUGCAGCGCUAGAGACGUUAUCAAGAUUGAGCAACUUGACGAUACUUGAUUUAAGUUAUAACUUGUUCAAUAAUAGCAUCUUGUCAUUUGUUGCCCGUCUUUCAUCAUUAACAUCAUUAGAUUUAUCUUACAAUGGAUUGGAAGGAAGUAUUAAUGUUAAAGGUACGUAAUUAAAACGUCAUCGCUUCUCCCAACUCUUCCAUUAACAUGCUAAAAUAAGAUUCAAGGCUUUGAAUUCAAUUUUUUUUUAUGAGUAAUAUUAGAAAAAUAGUUUUAAGCAAUUCAUAAAUACAAUUUUCAAUGUUUCUCAUAAUUUCAUCUUGUACUUUUGUAUGUCUUGACUUUAAGAUUAAAAAAAAAUUACUCUAACUGUGAAGCAAAUACCCCAUGACUAAUUUACAAUUUUGUCCAGUUAAAAAUGAUAAAAUUUAGGGAAAUUAUCAUUUGUAUACCCUUAGUUUACUCUAUUAUCAAAAAUACUACAACACUUUGAGGGUGUAUCAAUCGUCCACCCUAAGUUGACAAAAUGUAUUAGCCAACCACCAAACCGUUAGUUGCCGUUUAAAUAUGAUAACAUCAUAAGGGUAAUCUGGUCUUUUCAUAUGAUACAAGUGAUAAUUUAAGGGUAUACAAGUGAUAAAAAGAGAGUUUAAGGGAUACAAGUGAUAAUUUUCAAGGGUAAAAUCGUCAAUUUACUGUAAUUCCAUUAACUUUCAAACGGCAAUUAACAGUUUGGUGGUCGGUUGAUACAUUUCAUCAACUUAGGGUGGACGAUUGAUACACCCUUAAAGUGUUGUAGUAUUUUUGAUAAUAAAGCAAAUAUAGGGUAUACGAAUGAUAAUUUCCCUAAAAUUUAUCAUUUGUUUAUAUUGAUUUAUUAACUCUAUUUUAAGUCUUAAGUCUUAAGUCUUGGCAUGUUUGCAGAAUUUGAUUCCUUGAGCAACUUAGAGGAGUUGGACAUGAGCGGCAAUGAAAUAGACAAUUUCAAGGUUCCUCAAGGUAAACAAUUAAAAUAUUAUUUAAUUACAUUAAUUUAAUUCGUUUGAUUAGGGAAGACCCAAAAUGUACAAAAACAUAAUUAAAAAAAAAUAAAGAAACAGAGAAUUCAUAUUAUUUCAAAAAACAAAAGGUAAUACUAUUAUUUCAAAAAAAGAAUGUAAUAAAGAUUUGAUUCCGGUUCUUUAAUCUUUAUAGCAAUUGAAAAACAAUGUUGCUCUUUUCCUAAAGCAUAAAAUAUGAAAUGAGUCAUAAUUGAAUUAGUCAUUUAUUUUGUUUAGAUCUAAAUUUAGACAAUAAAUUUUGAUUUUUUUUUCAAUUCUAUCCUUAUUAUUAUUGUUAAACAGGUUACAGAGGUUUGAGGAAGUUGAAAAGCCUCUAUCUAUCGAAUGUUGGAGUUAGAGAUGGAAGCAAGUUGUUACAGUCUAUGGGAUCAUUCCCAUCCCUCAACACUCUUUACCUGAAGGAUAAUAAUUUUACCGAUAUAGCGACAACUACUACUCAAGGUAAGUAAAAGGUACAGAUGUGGCCAAAUUUAUAAAUAAACUGUUAAUUAAUUAAUUUUCUGUAUUAUUAAUAAAGCUAAAUUUUUGCUCAUUCCCUCUAAUUCUAAACAGAGUUGCACAAUUUCACCAACUUGGAAUAUUUGACAUUGCACGGUUCCUCUCUCCAUAUAAGCCUUCUGCAAAGCAUUGCAUCAAUAUUCCCUUCGUUAAAAAAUCUGUCGAUAUCUUAUUGUGAAGUCAAUGGUGUCGUACAUGGUCAAGGUAAAAGAAAAGUGUUGGUUGUGCACUCACUGAGUGUUGUCCUACGUAUUCAAUAUUUUUAUUUAUUUAUUUUAUUGUUUAAUGUUUCUGCUAGGUUUUCCUCAUUUCAAGAGUUUGGAACAUUUGGGCAUGAUGUCCACGCGCAUUGCACUCAACACCAACUUUCUUCAAGUCAUCAGUGAAUCGAUGCCUUCUCUUAAGUACUUAUCACUGUCAUAUUCUACUCUUGGCACUAACAGCAGCAGGAUUCUUGAUCGAGGUUAAUCAGAUGCUCCCACCCUCCAUUCUUAAUCUAUAAUAUUAAUUUUCAGUUAAAUAUUUAAUUACACAAACCAAUCACUUAUUAUAAAAGAACAAUACGCAUUCAUUAAUUUUUAUAUUAUAUUAAUUGAUGAAUUUAAUAAAUUCCAGGCCUCUGUUCGCCGGUGCAUCUGCAAGAGUUAUACAUUGGUUCUAACGAUUUAAGAGGUAGCUUGCCUUGGUGCAUGACAAAUUUGACAUCCCUCCGAAUAUUAGAUGUUUCUUCCAAUCAACUUACUGGAAGCAUCUCCUCGUCUCCCCUCAUUCAUUUGACAUCCAUUGAAAAGCUGUAUCUUUCAAACAAUCACUUCCAGAUCCCAAUUUCACUUGAACCACUUUUCAAUCAUUCAAGACUCAAGACUUUUUAUGCUGACAACAACGAACUAAAUGCAGAAAUAACUCAGUCACAUUCUUUGACCGCCCCAAACUUCCAAUUAUCACGUCUCUCAUUGUCUUCCGGUUAUGAAGAUGGCGUCACAUUCCCCAAAUUCCUUUACCAUCAACAUGAUCUGGAGACUGUUGAGCUCUCACAUAUAAAGAUGAAUGGAGAAUUUCCAACUUGGUUGUUGGAAAACAACACAAAAUUGAGACAACUUUCUCUCGUCAAUGAUUCUCUUGGAGGACCUUUCCGGUUGCCAAUUCAUUCACACAAGCGGUUAGGAAUGUUGGAUAUAUCCAACAACAACUUCCGAGGCCACAUUCCAAUAGAAAUUGGAGAUGUUUUACCAAGUCUAUACCUUUUCAACAAUUCCAUGAAUGCUUUAGACGGUAGCAUUCCCUCUUCAUUUGGUAAUAUGAAAUUCCUCCAAAUUCUGGACUUAUCCAACAAUCACUUGACUGGUGAAAUCCCCGAGCACUUGGCCGUUGGUUGCGUCAACUUGCAGUCUCUUGCAUUAUCAAAUAACAACCUACAAGGUCACAUGUUCUCUAGAAAUUUUAACUUGAUAAACUUGAAAUGGUUACAAUUGGAGGGCAAUCGCUUCAUAGGUGAGAUCCCACAAAGUUUGUCUAAAUGCUCCUCACUAGAAGGAUUGUAUCUUAACAAUAAUAGUCUUUCGGGUAAGAUUCCACGAUGGUUGGGUAAUCUCACAUGGUUACAAUAUAUUAUAAUGCCCAAUAAUCAUCUUGAAGGCCCUAUUCCAGUGGAGUUUUGUCAGCUUGAUUUGCUUCAGAUUUUGGACAUUUCAGACAACAACAUAUCUGGAAGUUUACCAUCUUGUUUCCAUCCUCUCUCUAUCAAACAAGUUCAUCUUUCAAAAAAUAUGUUACAUGGACAGCUAAAAAGAGGUACAUUCUUUAAUUGCUCUUCCCUUGUGAUAUUAGAUCUUAGCUAUAAUCGCUUGAAUGGCAGCAUUCCGGAUUGGGUUGAUGGGCUUUCUCAGUUAAGCCACCUUAUCUUAGGUCAUAAUAAUCUUGAAGGUGAAGUGCUAGUUCAAUUGUGCGAAUUGAACCAACUACAAUUGUUAGAUCUUUCUAAUAAUAAUCUUCACGGUCCUAUUCCUCCUUGCUUUGAUAACACCACACUUUAUGAAAGUUACAGCAAUAGUUCUAGUCUUGAUGAGCAAUUUGAAAUAUUUUUUUCCAUCGAAAGCCCUCAGGGAAAUGUAGAAAAGCAAAUCCAUGAAAUUUUUGAGUUCACAACAAAGAACAUUGUGUACAUUUACCAAGGAAAAGUGCUUAGCCUCCUAUCAGGACUUGAUCUUUCUUGCAACAAGCUAAUUGGUCCUAUUCCUCCUCAAAUUGGAAAUUUGACAAGGAUUCAAACAUUGAAUCUAUCACACAACGACUUGAUAGGAUUGAUCCCAUCAACAUUUUCAAACUUGAAGCAUGUCGAAAGUUUGGAUCUUUCCAACAACAAAUUGAAUGGGAAAAUCCCUCAUCAACUAGUGGAGUUAAAGACAUUGGAGGUUUUCAGUGUGGCAUACAAUAACUUAUCAGGCGAAAUUCCAGAAUGGACUGCACAAUUUGCAACCUUCAAUGAGAGUAGCUAUGAGGGAAAUACUUUUCUUUGUGGAUUGCCAUUGCCCAUUUGCAGAUCACCAGCAACUAUGUCGGAGGCUUCAAUUGGCAAUGAACGAGAUGAUAAUUUAAUUGACAUGGACAAUUUCUUUAUCACAUUUACAACAUCGUACGUAAUUGUGAUAUUUGCAAUUGUUAUUAUUUUAUAUGUAAAUUCUUAUUGGCGACGUAGAUGGUUUUACUUUGUUGAAAUGUGGAUAACUUCAUCUUACUAUUUUGUUGUAGACAAUCUUAUUCCAACAAGAUUUUAUCAUUGAAAUUAAUUAGUAGUUUAAUUACGAUUCUUUAAGUACUAAUCAAGUUUGUUUAGGAAAUAUUUUUUUAUUAAAAUUGUAGUAGUAUUUAGCAUUAUAUAGCUUCCAACUUCCAAGCACUUCACAUUUGUCUCUACACUUAAAAAACUGAGUGAUCAUGUUUUGCAGAUCUGGAUUUGGAGCAGGAUGGAUCCAAACCCAUAUCUGUCCACCGUAACUUAUAGCUUCCCUAUACUGUGCAGCAUACUUAAAUAAGAGAACCAUCUCCAAUGUUAAAAGCAUUCACUCUAUAACAUUCAUUUAGAAACUAUAUUCAGAAUAAUUUUAUAAUUAAACACAAGAAAUGAAACACACAGAUACACUUGAUCGCCUAUUUUACUCUAAAAAAGAACGAUUAUUGUGCUAUCAUCAUCUUCUUCACUAGCAACAUUAACACCAAAUCGAUGGACCCAUACAUUUCAUCAAGAAAGGUCUAUAUCCAAUAAAGUUGAAGCCUAACAAAAAAUUCAAGAAGAUUCAUGCCUCGCCACAACAAGGGGCACAACAACAUCAAAGUAGAGAUUAAGCAGUAUUCUCAAAGCUAAAACUCUCAAAUCCACCCACCAGAAUUUCAUAUCUCCUCAACAAUUUUAAGAACUAAAGAUAAUUAGGAUUUAACAUUAGUUUUUUAUAUAUUAGUUUCAUAAUUUACAAAUCAAUGAAGAUGAAGAUUAUGCUAAUAAAUUCAAAUUAUACCAUACAUUCUCUAGAUGUUACCAAAAAUUUCUAAGUCAAUCCCACAUAUUUCAUAAUUUUAAGACUAGAAAAUUUCACUAGUUAGAAGUUUCAUUACCUUCAAGUGGAAGAUGAAGAACAUUAUACAAGUGAUUCAGAUUAUAUCAUACAUACUCCAAAUGCAACUAGAAAUUAACAAGUUCAUGCACACAUAUUUCAUAACAUUAUGAUUGAAAAGUUUCACAGAGAAAUUCUAAAUUCAAUCUCUUGCAUGAAGGCAAUUUGAUUGAUUUGAGUUACUUUCUUAUCAAGCUACUAAUAUAACAUUCAAGUCAGGGAGAAAAUAAAUUAAAACUGGGAAGAAAUAACAGUAAAAAUUUGUUGCUCAACAUGAUGUGUAUUUUUUUUCAAGGCAAUUUGGAAACACAAUUGUUACCACAGAUAUUCUUCUCAACUUGGAGAUAAAUACAAAUAUUAAAAUGCAUAUGAUCGCACAUACUACUUCGAGUUUAGUAAGAUUUCAUUAAAAGAAGCAAUCAAACCACUUAUCAAUUGUCGCAGUCGUUCUAUAAACUAAAAUAGCAAUAUAAUACAAGAAAAAGAACAUAUAGAUACUUGGCAAGAGUUCAUUAAGAAGUCACAUCACAUUCAGGUGAGGAGUUUGCUUCUGAUAUCUUGCUAGCUGGGGCUUUUUCUUGUCUUUCUACGUAUGCCGAGGGAAACCAACCAGCUUGGCCCUUGCAUUCACCUUCCGACCAUCCAAUAGGAGCCACCUUGAGAAGUUAUAACUAAAAUGGUGAAUUAAACAAAAGUUGACCGUUCAAAGACCUAAGGGGAAAACUAAUUCUUUUACGUAGGAGGAGUGAAUUAGUUGUGAUCACUGAAAUAACAGCAUAACUAUGGAAGCAUAACAAGAUAUAAAUUCACACGUCUAUAAGGGUAAACUGGGUGGUUGAGAACUGAGCUAGCAACCCUACUAUAUUCUGAUUUGCACUUCAAUGUAAAAGGGAAUAUAUGGUAGGAAGAAAGAAAACCAACCAUCAUUUGUUAACUCAUUGCUUUUCAAUCAAAAUUUUAAGAACAAAAUGCCAUGUGCUUUGAACAUCAAAUAAGUAUAAGCAUUAGUUCUAAAUUCCACAUAUCAUAAGUUGUUAGAAGGAUAAGUUAAUAGCAGAGUAGAAAAAUCUAUGUGUUGGUAUUUAGAGGGGAAAGUACCUGGCGAACCACAACAUAAUCAUCAAUUGAAAGACUUAGCUCUCCAUUUGCUUGAGCAUCAAAUGGAUGUAUAACCUGCAAGAUAAUGGGAUAAAUAGAACAUAAAAAAAGCAUAACAAAAGCGGCAACAGUAGCAGCAACGUUCAUUGUAACCACUAUGAUCAUGGCCAACAAAGAUAUAUUAGAAACAAAAUUCCAUUUUUACUACGACAUUAAUAUGUACUAUACGAUAUCAUGACGAUUGGGUUACUAAGAGCUAUCAAAGUCUAAUAAGUUCUGUAUAACUUUAUGUAGUUAUUUAAAUUAUGGAUCAGAUUUUAAAUUUGAAAUUUUGACUGCUCUCCACAAAACAUGGCCUAUGCACAAGAAAGUCAUAGAUAAUGAGGAUUACAAGUGUCCGACAUCUUUUGAGUGAUGGAUUUAACAUGAGAGCUUAUGGUCAGUCAAUUUCCUCUGCCUAGCAAUAUAAGCUUUCUCGGCCAGAUUUAUCAUCAAAUACAUAGAUUGCCCCCAAGUCACAUCCAUAUAAACAUAGUUUUUCUAGGUAAACCAAGUAAGGAGUAUCAUAAUUCAGACAUAAUCAUAAAAAGGCCCAUCUAACUUAAGAGAAAAUCUCAAAAAGAGGGAUGCUGAGCUAUCAGUCUUGUAUCUAUAAGCAAUAUCAAGACUUUACGUCACCUGCUACAUCGUGAGUGGCUACACAACUUUCAGUGGUUUGUCUUUCUUUGGCACGCCUAACUCAGCUUUGAUGUUGCUGAGAUAUUGAUAGUAGAGACACAUGAUACUUCUAGCUCAUGCAUUCUAUCUAACUCAUCCAACAACUAUCUCUUUUUUAAUUCAUUAGUGUUUGCUAAACCUCAUGCUUAAAAGUCCUGUUCUCCUAAACAAAGUUUCCUAAGAAUGACUUCCUUAGCACCACAGUUGGACACUUUUAGAGCAAUUUUAUUUGGGGGAAAAGAAUUUUCAAGGUGUUAACUAAUAAAUUUUAAAAAAUAAUUACAAUUUGUCCUACGAUCAUAUGACAAUUUAUCUGGGAUGAAAGGAUACAGAUAGACAUCUUCCACUUUCAAGACUAAUCACUACUUCCGUAGAUGUUGUGCAAUAAUACAAAUACUUGACCAGAUGGUAGAAAAAAAUUUUAUUGCUCCAAAAUUAAAAUAAGAAUGCAAUAUGUUAAGCAAAAGGCUGUGCAACAUCAAAUUAAUUGAUAAGUUUGUAAUUCAGUAAAUUAACAACUUUCAUGGUAAAAUACAACAAAUUUCUUUUGAAAAAAAAUAAAUAAAUCUUAAAAGACAACAUUCAAUUUUGUGUACAUCUUAUUUCUUAAGAUUUUUCAGGAGGAGGGCAAUAGAGGGACUUUCACCUAUGCAAGAGAGCAGAAGCCUUACUUUCCCUAUAAAGUAGACGUCAUUCUGAUUAAUAUGCGUUUGCAAAUCAGCUCCGUUUGAAUCAGUAUUCUGAUAGACACACGAGGCAUUUACAUCCAUUUCCAAAGUCACAUGUUGCGAGGAGGACUCAUUUGAUUGCUCCUAUACGAUCAUCUAAUUCAAGUAGCAAGGGUUGGAAGAGAAUAAAAAGUCACAAUUAUUCUUUUGCAUAAGUGAGACGAAAAUGAUAAAUGCAAUAUUAUCAGCAGUAAACAAGAAGAGAACGCUCCAAGAAAUAGAUAGAUGCAGACAGGCAAGUUAAAAUGCAUAGUCCCAAACCUCCGCAUACAACUUCUCUAAAAUAGCAAUAACGUGUUGAUGCUAUGUUUUCUCAGCAUCUACCUGCAAAGGCCCGAGACCAGGAAAACAACAAUAAAGGAGAAAGUAAAGAAAGAAAUACACUUGACAUAAAUCUUGAAAAGAAGCACAAUUUAAGACAUAACAAACCCCAAUCAUAUUGUUUAGAACUACCAUUCGUUAUUUCGUUAUUGUAGCAUUUCGAACAAGCGUUGACUUAAUUCAACAUUGUUGGAAAGAUAGGCUUUUAGAAGCGGAAGAAAGCCACUCAAACCAAAGUGAUUGUCCUUGUAUUGAUCAAGGGAUGUAAACAUAUUACAUUUGCAGGAUGAGUUUUAAUCACUCCCCUGAUUUAUUUGGGAUGCAGUAAAACUAAGCGAGCAACUGUUUGACUUUCAAGCAACAUCUAAAUCAGCUAUUAAAAUUCAAAUAAAAUUAUAAUAGAAUAAUAACAGGCCAUCUUGCAUCAAAAAUUAAGUUUAAUUUGUGAAUUUUUUUCUAUAGACAUGUUAGUUCCUGCUAUUGAAAUGUUAAAAGCAUUGAAAAAUUAUUCAAUAAAUUAUGCAAACAUUAAAAUAGAGGACAUAUUAAAAAGUUUCUAAUUACAAUGUUAAGAUUUCCUAUAUUUUAGCAUUUGCAUAUUUUAAUUUAUUUAAAAGCUACGUAGAUCAACUUUGGGCAUGAAGAUUUUAGCUUCUACGAGACUUGAUUGGAAUAUGCAUAAGGAAGUGUGUUAAAAUAUGAUGCAUCCAACGAAAGACAAACCACGUGUAGUCUUUUAAUUAAGCCAAAGUAGCAGCUCAAACAAAUGACACUUGGACCAACAUGCAAUCAUGAAGUGGCCGGAAAAAGGACAAAUGCAACUUUGGCUUAAAUAAAAAAUAACAUGUGACUCGACUUUUGCUGGACAUGCAUCAUGUUAUUACAAGACAACAAAAAUCAGUAUGAUAGUACUAAAAGUUGACAAUAACAUGAAGAUAAGAGGCAGAAUGUCAACACAUGCAUAGGCACACACAAGAAAGUAUUAACGUAUAUACCAUAGCAAAAAGUAUUUGAUAUGUCAUCUGUUGCUGCUGUGAUUCAACUGACAGCAUGGCAGCUGUUGCUUCUCUACCAAGAGCCAUUAUUGUAGAUUUAAGCUCGGUCAAUCUUGCUUCUGCAUUUCGAAGCUUCACAGCACUCUCUGCUGAUAUAUCAGAUUCCCUAAUCUUUGAUCGGUGCCUAAAUACUUCAGCUGCCUGGUGAAAAUAUUCAAUAUAAAUCUAAUAUAAUUCUCAUCUUGCCUUAUGCAUGCAUAUGUUACCUCAAAGCUUACCUGGGCUUCAACUUCAUGUCGAAGUUUGUCAUAACGAUGAGUCAGGUGUCGAGCAUCUUCCAAAGGUGCUCCGUUGAUUAACGCCCGUAGUGGCUCAGAUACCUACAUGUCCAAAAACCUGUAACAUAGUUAGAAAAAUGAAAAGAAAGAGCGAAACCUCAAUUAAAAAGUUCCUCCAACAUAAUCAUGGAAUUUGGGCCUACUUCAAGGAUAUAUAUAUAAGGAUAAUUUAUGCAAUUUUGGGUCUUAGGAUGAUUCAUAUUAGGUUAGUGUUCUUCUCUUCUGUAUUUAAGGUUAAAAUAGAAAUAAACCUAUGCAAAUAUAUAAAUUAGGGCUGUAAGACUUCCACAUGCAUCCUUCAGUCUCAUGGAUUUGAUUUUACUAUAGAUGCAAGUGUCUUUAUCGAAAAUGCUUGGAGUCAAUUGAGAGAACUCACGGCCAAUAACUUGUCACACGCUAGUCUUUGCUAGUGAUGUAAGAAGUCACAAGGUCUCUUCAGCAUUUGAACCAAUAAAAUUAUUAAGUCAUGGAUGUCACUAGCAAUGAUUUUAAUAUAAAAUAUUAAAUAUUUCAAGUUGUAACUUUAAAAUGGAUUCUUUUAUUCAAUAUCUUAGAACUAAGUUUCCUUAUGAGAAGAUAAUAGUUUCAGUAGUAAUGUACAUAUAAUUUUCUAUAUUUGAAUUAUUUUCUAGUUAGGGAUGAACUAACCUGAUCACGAAGAAUCCCAAGCAAAGUUUCCCUCUCAUUUUCCAUCAAAUCAUGUGAAGUGCCAAAUUGAAGAGCAGCUCUUGCAACGCAAGAAUUGUCACUUUGAUUCUCCACUCCAUACUUGCAACAAUCUUCGGCCAACUUUCUCGCUACAAUAUUUGAAUACAAAAAUAUUGUACACAAGAACUAGUCAAGAAAAUUAAAAAAAAAAUCAAAUAUUAUAACGAGAGCAAGAGCAAACGAACAACCUAUUUCCAUUUGUUUCAAGCUUACUGCAACAAACACUUCAACGCCACGGACAACAUUCCUCUGACAAUAUUCCAAAUUAUUGUUCAGAUAAAACCAUAGAAACCAUCAUAAUUGUUCAACAUACAUUAAGCUAAAGGAGGAUGGUGCCUUAGCUGCCCUGGUGGAAUUGUAUAGAUUUUGAAGUUGUUGGUGACACUCAAUUUCAGAUUCAUCAACCGCAACAUUUUCAAUACCAAGAUGGAGCAGAUGCUUCAAUACUGCCUGUACAAAUCAUAAAAAACUAAUGAAAAAUAAAUAAAAUCGAGAAAUUUCACUAACUAAAAGUCUAAAUAUAAUUUUUUUAAAAAGAAAAGAAACGGACUUGCUGCUGCUUGGCGACUUGUUCUCGGAGCUUGAUUGCCUGUUUCUUGAUAGCUUCCAUACUGUUUCUUUCAAAAAGCGACGACGGCUCAGCUCAUGGAGGUGGAAAAAAAAAGUGUGAUCGGGAAAAAUAAAAAGGCAUGAAUAAUUUUUGAAAAAAAGCGAAAAUCAAGGAAAGCCAGCUCUUUCCAGAAAAUAAAAAAAGAAAAAAGAAAAAAGAAAAUUAUAAGUUUGAAAGGAGAAGAUGAUUGUGGAAGUGUGCGGUGUGGCUGACAGCUACUUGGAUUGUAUUGUCGGGUAAGGUAAUAGUAGAGAAUUUUUUUUUUUUAAGAAAAAUAGUAGAGAAUUUUUUAAGAAGCUAGAACAGAGCAUGACAUUAGACUUUUGUUGACCAAAGGAUGUUGUUUUAUUCUUCUUAUACUUUACGUUUGGUUUGGUUUUUCAAACUAAAUAAUCAAGUAGCAAAAAUACAAAUUUAGAGAUUAGGGGGUGAACUAGCUAGGUGGUUUACAAAUAUUCCUAUUUGUAAGGUGAAUUAAUUGAAUCAUGAGAAAACAAUGUGACCAUAGCUCAAUAUGAGAUGAUUUCGGAGAGGCAUAUUGUUUUCAAGUGAAUUUGAUCCAUUAAGAGAUGAAGUGGAUUGAAGUGGAAAGUUUAAAUAACAAAUCCUUGUUCUUGAGUUUUACGACGUUGUUACUCCUUCAGGUGGCAGAUUAUGCAAGUGAAUUCAAAAACACAAUGCAUCAAUCACGGGGAUGCUACAUCAAAAGACGGGAUCAUAGUCUAUGCAUUGAACAGUUACAGUUGCUGCUACCAAUUGCCUCGGCAAAGAUCAAGAAGACUGAACGGGAAGUUAAUGCCAUCAAGGAGUUGUCUAGUGUUCUUUUCCUUAUGCUAUGAUCGGUGCUCUUGAGGCUGCCCUGAAACACAGGAAAAUACUUCGAUAUCCUCCAUUCGAUGAUGCAAAGAACCGGUUAAUGUAUGAUUACCUAAUUGACUCAGGAUCAGGUAACAACAACAACAAUUUAUUAAUAGUAAUAUCACAAACGAAGAAGAUUUCGGAGAGGGAGAUGUAAGCGUAUACUGUUUACAGGUUUGAUCCACUGGGGAUGAAGUGGUCUCAAGUGGAAAGUGAUUUAUUAAACAACAAAUCAUUGUUCUUGGGUUAUACCUCAUGAUGUCAUCAAGUGGAAGAUGAAGAUCGUUUGAUAUUGAAGAAUUUGAACAGAAAGCCCAUAGAAAGUACUUAAAUAAGCAUAUUCUUGUUGGGGUAGAAUAUUAAGAAAGGAGUUGUCUACUGUGUGUUGCGUAAUUAUGCUAUGAUCGGUGCUUUCAACAUUGCCCUGAAAACAGUGGGAAAUACUUCAUACCCUCGACAUGAUGAUGAAAAAUUGGUUACCGAUUACCUAAUUGACUCAGGUGACAACAAUCCAUUAAUAGCACAAUUUGACGUGAUGCCGUUUAGGUAUAUGGUUUUCAAGUUUGAUUCAUCAGUGAUGAAGCGGACUAAAAUUAAAAGUUUAAAUGAUAAGUCAUUGUUCUUGGGCAUAUCGUCAUUACUACUUCCAGUGAUCAACGAUGAAGAUGAAGAUGAAAAUUGUGCGAGUUCAAGAUUACCAUUUAUCAUUACUUGGGAUAUUACUUCAACAUAGAUGGGGUUAUAAUUUACUCCCACGAACAUCAACUCAACUUUAUGAUUGGAGUGUCUCACCGUGACUCAGACAAAUUCUGAUUCAACCUCCUUCACCAAUGGAUUUUGAUUAGUUAUUUUGUGAUCAAGCAACUUAAUUAAACUCACAGUUUGUUAGUCUAAUUUUAGUUUUACUGUGACCACUAUUCAAGGUAAGCGAAAGUUACAGAUGUGGCAAAAUCAAUAAUUAAAUUCAUAAAAUGUUAAAAAAUAAAACUUAUAAAUGUUGCAUGACUACUUACUAAUAAAUAAAUAAGUUAGAAUGUAGUUAGUUAAUUUUACACCAUAUUAUAUAUUAUUCGAUAAUAAUAUAAAAUAAAAAUAAUUAAAAAAUAAAUAAUUGAAUAAAUAAAUAUGGCUUUCUAAACAGUAAAAAUUCUAGAGUUAAAAUUUAUAUUAUUAUUUUAUUUUUUAAAAUUGACAUUUUUCUAUUGUCUUACAUGUACAAAGAUUUUGAGAGUUGAGAAGAAUAUAUUUAAUGAAGCUUGAUAACAUUUGAUGGGAUAGCAAGUAAGGGUAAAUAAGAUAUUUUUAUUUGUUAUUUAUUUGAAUUAUAUCUAUUUGUUCAAGUUAAAAUACUAAAUAUAAAUUGGAGGUAGACAUUUUAACAGAUCAUCUAAGCUCUCAAAUCUGAAAUUUUGUGUAGAUUUAAAUUCAUAAUCCCCAAUUAUUUGAUCAGCAACUAUCAAGAACUAACCAAAUUUAUUUCUUCAUGACUUCCAAACACUAGAAAAUUUUGUUAUUUGAUAAUAAUAUCAUUAAUUAGAGUUUAUCAAACCGCAUUAUUUUCUUUCAUAAAAUUGAUGCCUAUUAGUGUCACACUUUAUUUGUAUUACCUAGCGGACAUCAACUUUUUUUUUAAUUUUUUAAAUUAAAAAGACCAUUUGAUUUUAACCCAUGUUCUUGGCCUUAGGGAAGCUGACUUCUUUUAUAGUCAGGCGAUGAGUUAAGAAGUGACAUAGCAUUCAGGCGAUGAGUUUAUUUUUGUUAUCUUGCUAACAGUUUUAGUCUAAUUUUAGUUUUACUGUGACCACUAUUCAAGGUAAGCGAAAGUUACAGAUGUGGCAAAAUCAAUAAUUAAAUUCACAAAAUGUUAACUAAUUAAAUUCAUAGAGUUGCACAAUUUCAUCAACUUGGAAGAAUUGACUUUAAUGGACUGGCCUUCUCCCCCUAUAAUUCUAAUGCUUCUAGGAAGCAAAUUUUUAUAAAUUAUUUAUUUUUGAGUUAAUUUCAAUUUCAAAAAACAAAUUUUUUAAGUUAUUGAUACUCUAAUGAGAGUAUCUUCAUAACAAUUCCCUUGCUCCAAUAAUAACAAAAAGGUGGUUACUUAGAAAUAAUUAAAAUAAAUAAGUGUUGAUUAUAUAUCCUAAUUUGCAUCGAUUUUUUUUUACCUUAAUUUCAGGAAUUUGGAAUAUAAGUUUGUGAAUGGAGGAUGAUCACGCGUGUGUUAAUUUUUCAGUCAUUGACUGUCGUAUUCUCGACUUAACGAUAGUGUUCUUGAUCAAGGGCAAUGACUCCCACCCCUCUUUUAAAAAUAUUGUCAAGUAUAUUGAUGACAAAAUCUCUUAUAGUUAAUAGUCUUUAAAAAUUUAUAGAUUUACUAUUGUCAUGACCAAAUUAUUCAUGUUUAAUGAAAUAUUAAUGCAUCAAAAUAGAUAUCUUCGGAAUCUAAUCCGAUCGGCUCAAUCCGUUUCAUUCGCAAAAGUGCAAUCCGCAAAAAUUUGAUCUGUGGAUUAGUGGAUUGGAUUGGAUUGAAAGUUUAAAAAUCCAUAGUCGAUAAAUUGGAUAUCGAUUUACUUCUCUAAAUAUGCAAAAAUUCAUGAAUUCGCAAAAAAAAAAAAUGUAUUUACUAAUAAAUAAAUAAGUUAAAAUGUAGUUAGUUAAUUUAACACCAUAUUAUAUCUUAUUCGAUAAUAAUAUAAAAUAAAAAUAAUUAAAAAAUGAAUAAUUGGAUAAAUAAAUAUGACUUUCUAAACAGUAAAACUUCUAGAGUUAAAAUUUAUAUUGUUAUUCUAUUUUUUUAAAUUGACAUUUUUCUAUUGUCUUACAUGUACAGAGAUUUUGAGAGUUGAAAAGAAUAUAUUUAAAUAAAAUAUUUUUAUUUGUUAUUUAUUUCAAUUAUAUCUAUUUUGUUCAAGUUAAAAUACUAAAUAUAAAUUGGAGGUAGGCAUUUUAACAGAUCAUCUAAGCUCUCAAAUCUGAAAUUUGUGUAGAUUUAAAUUCAUAAUUUUAGUUAAUUUUCAUAUAUUCAUAUAAACAAAUUUAUGAGAUUUUUUUCUUUUCAACAUGUUAUAUUUUUAAACUUUCAAUGUAUUAUUUUAGCUAUAUUUAAACAAUUAAUUUAUUUAAUUUUAAAUUUGAUCAGUAUAAAAUGUUUUUAUAUCAAAUUUUUUUAUUUAAAUAGUUCGUGGAUUGGACAAAAUUAAACAUUUUUAAUUCUUAAAUGAUGGAUUGGAUAUGAAUUGGAUCAAAUCCACAUUCGAUCCGCAGUUAUAUGGAUUGAAUUUGAAUUGAAUUUCAUCAAUCUAUGGAUUAUAUUGGAUUAAAAAUUUAUAAUCCACAAAAUCGUUGAUUAGAUAUGGAUUGAUGUCCAAUUCGCAAAAUCUAAUUGCCGAACACUCCACUAUCAAAAUUUUCAAAAAUAUGUUUUAUCCUAUAAUUUUUUUUUAAAGUCAUAGUCUAAUGGCAGCUCAAUUUCUACUGCAUUCAUAUAAGCGGAGUUCAAAUCUCAUACCUCUUAUCUCCACACGAGAUUUAACCAGUUGAAAUAGCUAGCACCCACAAAUAUACUAGUACAGCAUCUCUUAACGUUUAACAUACGUAUAAUUAACGCCAUAGCUAUUGAUAAACACAUUGUUCAAUAUAUAUGAUCAAGAAUCUGAUCCUGCGAGCAACAGCAGUAAGAAGAACCAUUAUAAUGCCUAGCUCUUAUCCCGGUUAAUCCUCUGGCCCGAUGCUUCAUCAUAGUGAUUUAAAAAACAAACAACAGCUCUCUAAAAGAGAUGAAGAUAUCAUCUACGUAAAGAACAUGAAACGGAGAUUCACAACCCAUAAGAACUGAGAUAAAUUGGACCAGACCGGUAAUCUUGAGAUAAGUUAAACUGUGACCUAAGUUGAAAUCAGAGGACCAGAAUUUUAAAAUCUUUCGGCUAAGCCCCUGAGCAAUUUUCUAGAGUACGGCUUCUGCUUACCUCUGUUUAAUUUCUCUUUAUAUUUUUCUUUCAUUUCAUUAAUAAAGUCAAAUAAUAAAUCAAAGAACGAGGGAAGAUUUUUCCAAGUCAUGCAUUAUUUGAUUACCAUCAAUCAAGAAACCGACCAAAUUAAUUUCUCUCCGUGAUUUUUAAAAAUUAAAAAAAAAAUUAUUUGAACAUAACAUCAUUAAUUAUAGAGUGGAUCAAACUGCGUUAAUCAUGAAACUGAUACCUAUUAAGAGUCAAACUUUUUACUUAUGCAUACUAAAAGACAUCAAAUUGUUCCGAUCCCCAAUUAUUUGAUCAGCAACUAUCAAGAACUGACCAAAUUUAUUUCUUCAUGACUUCCAAACACUAGAAAAUUUUGUUAUUUGAUAAUAAUAUCAUUAAUUAGAGUUUAUCAAACCGCAUUAUUUUCUUUCAUAAAAUUGAUGCCUAUUAGUGUCACACUUUAUUUGUAUUACCUAGCGGACAUCAACUUUUUUUUUAAUUUUUUUAAAUUAAAAAGACCAUUUGAUUUUAACCCAUGUUCUUGGCCUUAGGGAAGCUGACUUCUUUUAUAGGUGAUAUCUGCUUGAACUUUGGUGUGUUAAUUAUUUCAAUCCCCAAUUAUGUAAUUUUUUAAAUUAUAGCCUAACGGCGGUCUCAUCACCACGUGUGUGAUUUUCUUUUGCCAAUAGGAUCUGCAGAGAGCUUGAUCUCAUCCAAUAGCAAAAUAAACUUCCUAAUAAGUGAAGGUAUAGUAUAAAUAUUUCACCCCCAUAUUAUUUAUUAGCAGCUUGAUUAUUUUAUAUGCAUCUUUGAUUUUAAUUUUUUUUCCCAUAAUUGCUACUAUGUUCGAACUGGUCAUGAAUUAUCUAUAAGAUUUUUCAUGUUGCUUUUAGGUGCAUUGGAUUUUUUGAGUUUAGUGCAAGAGUAGAGGAAGGCAAAUUAAGAAAAAGGAUAAAGAUCUAUGAUUAGCUAUUUUGGGAUGUCUCAUAACAUAUUGAUGCUAACAUUAUACAUAUGUAUAUCUAAAUAAUGGGCUUGGAUCAAGAGCCCAUUAAUAAUCAUAGAUUAGCUUAUAUAGUUCAAAAAAUGUACCAUAAAGCAAUUUUACAAGCACUUGUUAGCCUAUGUUGAGCUUUAUUAUCAAUAGUUCAUAGUUCAUCAGUGCACUGCAAGUUUACUAUUUGAAGUAAAUGUUGUGGUGCGUGCAUUCUUCAUAAGGCCAACUAUUGAAUUUAGCAUUGAAACUUACAAAAUGUAAUAGAAAGAGGUAGAUAACAGCCAUAAAACACUAAGAUUGGAAAUCAGGGCAACUAAAUACUAUUACAAGCCCUUAGAAAAGACAGCGAUCAUCCUGAAAUAUAUAUACUGAAAGUAAGAAAUGUUAAUCGCAAAGUUAUGUGCCAACAGAACUAUUGACUACUUGUCUCUAGUAGAAAGUAAAUAUUUUUAACUUCAGCCCUCUACUUUGUUCUAAGAACAAGGCAAUAUAAGGAAACAUCGGUGUCUAAAAUUUGCCGCUUGGAAUAUUUCACUGUCUAAACAUUCACUCACCACUUAUUUCAUUAAUGAAUUUUGUCUAAUUAUAUGUUGAUAAAGAUAUUAGAGUAAUAUAAUACAUUUAAGGCUUAACUUAUAUUUUUUAUUAGUAGAGUGUAGAACUUUUAAGAAAUAAAUUAUUAAAUUACUAUAACUAACAUAUUAUUUUAAAGUUAUGUUAAGGAAAAGAAUGAAACAAAAAUAAAUAAAUAAAUAAGGGUAUUCUAAAACUUUGAUCUUUUUAAAAGUAGAUUUUGACAUAGAUAAAAUAAUUUUUAUAUUUUUUAAAUCACAUACUCUAGUUAAAAUCAAAUUGUAUUUAUAAAGUUUGUAAAUUUUUUUUUUUUUAGCACUGAUAUUUGAACACUAUCAAGAUAAGAAAUAGGGCACUGGUCAUGCUACAACAUUAUUAUAGCACAUAAAAAGACAAUACCAUUUAUUUUAUUGUACUAUCAUUGUUGUUAUAAUAGUAUUUUUGUUAGUGGUCAAAUAUUAUUUUUUUAAGUAAAAAAAGUGAACAAUGUAAAUUAACUUUUAAUCUCUCCUAAAUUCUAAUUCCUAGUUACGAAACAAAAUUGUUUAAAACCAUAGGUGAUAGGUGAUAGAAGUUACUAACACAAGCAAAUUUGACGGUCCAUUUUAUAAAAUUUGUUAUUUACCAUUUUACCACCUAUAUAAGGAGUGCCGCAUCGACAUAUCAACUCAUUUGCAGAUUAUUUUAAUUUUGUAAAAUUCAUUUAACCUGCACUUGGUCGCCCCUAUUCUCUGAAUGGUUAUGGCGAUAUCAUCAUUAUCGUUACUUGUACCAACGCUAAACCCUUCUUAUUCCCUUUCUCGCCUGUCAUACCCUAACAUUAUAUCCCGUGUCCACACUAAAGACAAGUAGUCAAUUCAAGCCAUCAGAUUAUAGUGGACCCACAUCAAUCCAACUACUUACAAUGACCGACAGCCUCUCCAUCUCCAUUUCAGGUUUCCUCUUCAACUGGCUUCUGCUUCCGCUGUAUUUGCUCCAUUUCUUGGAUUCGGAGUCCGUAUUUGGUCGGUCGGUCCCGCACAGCUCCCUCUCACUCCAAUUGUCACCCAACAAGACCAAUUGCUUAAUCAAGGCACAGAACAAGAAGAGGAUGAGAAAUUGAAACAGAAUUUGAGAAUUGGAAAUCGAAAACGUACGCAUUGACCGUGCCUUUGAGGGCAAUUACUUUUCUUGAGAAUUGAAGUUUGGUAAUGUAAUUUGUUCUCCAUCUGUGUUCCUUUGUAGUCAUUUCAUUUAUUUGUUUGUUUGCUUUAUUUGCACUUACGAAGUCUCAGGUAUACCUACGCAGGAAUGAGCAGGAGAAAUUGAUCCUCGAGGUAACAUAUGGGCGCGCCAUAUCGGUGGGGCACAGUGGUGAUAGCUUACAAGAAAGUAAAUUUCGAAAGCAUAAUUUGGUUCCGAUUGAGGUAAUAAUUGUCUUUAAGCUCAUUUAGUUUUAUAUCAAACAAAAUCAAGACUGCCUUUCUCUUCAAUAGUUUUGAUGAUAAUAUCUUUAGAAGCAUCUCAUUGACAGGUAAUCGUGGUACCCCUUAAAGAGUCUAUAAACUCAAGGAUAUUAUCUUCUGCAAAUGGUUCAUUAAACUUCUUAGAUGUAGUUAAAUGUACACUGAGAACAACGAGAAGCUAUGCCACUGUAGCAUGUAGUGAUGGCACUUAAUGAGUGAGUUGCUAGGAUAUGAACUAGAAAAAUUAAACAUUGUCUCCCUGGGUAUGCUAGCUUGUAAGUCGGUUAAUAUUAGAGCUUGAGAUACUAUAACCAUGAGAAGCUAUUGACCGCCGAUUAAAAUAUCCAUUAAAAUGUCUAGGGAGUUAUGAAGGUGGAGGUGUCUCCCAAUUUCUAAGGCCAUAUAGUAGACAUCAUCCAGGAUCCUAUUAAAGUGCAGUUAGCCUCCUGCUUGAUGCUAAUGUCAAACAAUUAAUAAAUUUGGUCAAUGUAACUGAAACUUGCUAACUGACGUCAGAUUGCGACUUGAGCACCUUAAAAUGGGAUAGACGAUUAGUAGCACUGAAUUCUUCUUGCCUAAGAUUGAGCAAUUGUUCUAACUACUAUCUCCUAUUGUAGGUUGAUUAUUAUGUUCUAAUUAUGUCGAUUUUGACCCAAAAAAUUACAUAAUCUUGAUCUGCAUAAUGUCACUGAACAGUGUCAAUUUCGUUUACCAACUAACUUGAGUUUGAUAUAACAAACACACGGUGUGUCUCUCAUGUCUCACCAUGAUGGAGAAUUUUUCUAAUGCAUGAAGCAAGCUUCGAUAUGUGGGUUAGCUUGGAGAAGAUAUCUUAAAAUGAAGAAUAUGGGGAGUUAAUGGGAAGAAACAGUUCAGUAGUUUAUAAUUCUGUCGUCGAGCUGUAUCUCUAACAUGGUCAAAAUUUAUGUGAAUAAGGACAGGGAAUCUUCAUUCCUCUUUCCCUUUUUAUACCCACAUAUCUCUCAACCUUUAUAUGUUGCUCACUGGAGAUCUGCUUCUGAUAACUAAAAUAAAAAUUUCAUCCACUCAAAUAAAUUCUGACCAAGCUUUCACAAGAAAAAGUAACAUCUUUAGUGAAGUAAUUUACAAGUAAUUUAGAGUUCCUUAUCAUCUUCUUGUGAGUCUAUCAGUAUGAUCCAAAAACAUAAUAAAUCUUGUUAGAUCCUGUUUAUUGAUGUUUAAACGCUGCUCAUUGUGAAAUGUAGAAACAAUGACGUGAAGUUUCUUUGGUCAUCAAUUAGUGAGAUCUUGUUUGAAGUUGUUUUCUGAAAUGAACUGCCAAAUGAUAGUUUUUUUUUUUUUUUCUUUGGACGCAUUUGAUGGCUCUUUUCUCCUCAUUUUAAGCAUGUGCCUGCUUGGUAUGGGAAGGAAUAGGCUUCAGAGUUGUUAUAUAUGUUGACAUGCUCUGGUCAUUACACAAUAUGUUCAAAUUGGAAAUUAGAAUGAGAUAUUUGUCGAUGCUUUUUGAGAGAUCUGCAUUCUAUGCAGCAUAACAUGAUUAAUGAAAAUGGGUUUAAGGACUGGAAAGAUCUGUGGCAGCCCAAGCUUGCAGGAAGGAUUUCAAUGGUUAAUUCUCCCAGAGAGGUUAUUGGUACAGUUUUGAAGUAUAUGGGAGCAUCAUACAAUUCAAACGACAUUAAUUAGCAAGUUGCUGCUGGGAGGAUUGCUGUUCAGCAGAAUCUGGCAUUACUGGGAAACCAGGUACUCUUAAAGAAACGAUAGCUGGUCAAUGCAUAUUAUUGCCUGACGGCUGAUUUUGUUUGUAAAGUGUGCCUUUUCAUACAUAUGAAUGCAUAUGUUAGUGUUGUCUUCUCCUUUCCAUAAAUAUGAAUGCAUAUGUUGGUGUUCUUUUCUGAGAUGGAUGCAAUAAAGGCUUUUCUUCUCUAAAUGACGAGUUUUCAUUUAAAAAUGUUAUAAAUCUGCCAUGCAUAGUAUUCUAGUAGAAUCAUCUAUAAAUUCAAGUUAUUGAAAUUGUCUAUUUGUCCAGUUUGAGUUAAGGACGCAUGUAAUAUGAAAAUAGUUGUCGAAUAUUGUAGGUUAGCUAAUAUUGAUCAAUCCUAUAGGGAGGGCUUUAAGAUGUCUAACAACAUGUAGAAUGCCCCUGCUUCCCCCACAAUUUUUAUCUUAUACAAUUUUUAUCUAUAAACAGUAUUUGCCAGACCUUAACUGUUCAGAUUCCCCUUCUCGACUAUCAUACCCUACGCCCCGUCUCCGUGUCUCCGAUAAACAGCUCAAUUAAGGCCAUCAGAUUAUCCCGGUCCCACAUUGAUCAACGGCUCACAAUGACCGACAACCUCUGUCUCCAUUACAAGCUCCCUCUUCAACUCGCUUCUGCUUCCAUCCUACUCUUUCUCAGAUUCGGAGCCCGUAUAUGCUCGCUGGUCCCACGAAGCUCCCUCUCACUCCAGCUGUCAACCGACAAGACCAAUUGCCUUAUCAAGACAGAGAACAAAAAGAGGAUGAGAAAUUGAAACAAGAAUUGAGAAUUGGAAAUCGAAAACGUACUCAUUGACCGUGCCUUUGAGAGUUGUUUCUCUUCAGAAUUCAGUGCCUCAAUCUUGGGUUAAGGAUUUUAUGCGAAGUCAAGGAAAGUGAUUGAAGUUUCAGAUGAAUUUGUGUGCUAGCAUUGGUGGGAUCUUUAACAAUUUAUCUGCCCUUUAACAAAGUCAAGGCUAAUUCAGCUUCUUAUAUGGCUGCUGAUUUGGUUAGUGUUGGUGAUUCAUGGCUUAGUUUUGCCAUUAAAGAGAGAUUGAUUGAGCCAAUGGCUGGAGCUGAAGACCAAGAUUGGUUCAAAUGCUUAAGUCACAAAUGGAAGGUAACAUCUUUAUCUUUGGCCCGAUAAUUUUUAUUGUCUUACAUUGAAAUUUGGUAAUGUAAUUUGUUCUCUAUCUGUAUUACCCUUUUUAGUCAUUUUAUUUAUUUGUUUAUUUGCUUUUAUUUGCACUAACGAAGUCUCAGGUAUAUCUAUGCAGAAUGAUGCAGGAGAAAUUGAUCCUCGAUGUGAAAUAUGGGCGGCACCAUACAGGUGGGGCACAAUGGUGAUAGCCUACAAGAAAAGUAAAUUUCGAAAGCAUAAUUUGGCUCCGAUUGAGGUAAUAAUUGUCUUUAAACUCAUUUAGUUUUAUAUCAAACAAAAUCAAGACUGCCUUUCUCUUCAAUAUUUUUGAUGAUAAUAUCUUUAGAAGCAUCUUAUUGAUGGGUAAUAAUUGUAUCCCUGAAACAGUCUAUAAACUCAAUGAUAUUAUUUCUACAAAUGGCUCAUUAAACUUUGUCGUUGUAGUCAAAUGUACACUCAGAGCAAUGACAAGCUAUGCCACUGUAGCAUGUAGUGAUGGCACUUAAUAAGUGAGUUGCUAGGAUGUGAACUAGAAAAAUUAAAUAUUGUCUCCCUGGGCAUGCUAGCUCAUAAGUCAGGGUUAAUAUUAGAACUCAAGAUACUAUAACCAUGAGAAGCUAUUGACUGCCAAUUAAAAUAUCCUUUAAAAUGUCUAGGAAGUUAUGAAGGUGGAAGUAUCUUCCGAUUUCUGAGGCCACAUGGUAGAUAUCAUCCAGGAUCCUAGUACAGUGCAGUUAACCUCCUGCUUGAUGCAAUUAAUAAAUUUGGUCAAUGCCACUGAAACAUGCUAACUGACGUCGCAAUGCGACAUGAGCACUUCAAAAUGGGACAGACGGUCGGUAGCACUAAAUUUUUCUUGCCUAAGAUUGAGCAAUUGGUCUAACUACUAACCCCUUUUGUAGUUGAUCAUUAUUUUUCAAUUAUUUUCAGUUUGACCCAAAACGUUACAGAAUCUUGAUCUGAAUAUUGUCACUGAACAUUGUCACUGAACAUUGUCAAUGUCGUUUAGCGUAGCCAACUAACUUGAGUUUGGUAAAACAAACACACAGUGUGUCAUGUCUCACAAUUCAAAUUAUCAUUUGUAAUGAUGGAGAAUUUUUCCAAUAUGAAGUAUGCUUUGAUACGUGGGUUACCUUGGGGAAGGUAUCUCAAAAUAAAGAAUAUGGGGAGAAAAGUUCAGUAGUUUAUUAUUAUGUAGUCAAGUUUUGUCUCAAAAAUGGUCCAAAUUUAAAUGAAUAAGGACCGGGGAUCUUCAUUCUUUUUUCCCUUUUUUAUACCUAGAUAUCUCUCAACCUUUAUAUAAUCCCCACUGGAUAUCUGCUUCUAAUAAUUAAAAUAAAAAUUUCACCCACACAAAUAAAUACUGACCAAGCUCUAACAAUAAAAAGUAACUUCUUUAGUCAAGUGAUUUACAGUUCCUCAUCACCUUAGUGAGACUAUCAGUGUGUUCCAAAAACAUAAUAAAAUUGGUUGUUCCUGUUUAUUGAUGUUUAAAUGUUGUUCAUUGUGACAUGUAGAAAUGAUGAGGCGAAGUUUAUUUGGUCAUCAAUUUGUAAGAUCUUGUUUGAAGUUGCUUUCUGAAAUGAACUGCCAAAUGGUAGUUUCUUUGGGGCAUUUGAUGGCUCUUUUUUCCUCAUUUUAAACAUGUGCCUGCUUGGAACAGGAAGGAUUAGGCUGCAGAGUUGUUAUAUAUUUUGACAUGCUCUAGUCAUUGCACAAUUUGUUCACACUGGAAACUAGAAUGAGAAAUUUGUUGCAUUCUAUGCACAAUAACAUGAUUAAUGAAAAUGGAUUGUAGGACUGGAAAGAUCUGUGGCAGCCUGAGCUCGCAGGACGAAUUUCAAUGGUUAAUUCUCCCUGAGAGGUUAUUGGUUUAGUUUUGAAGUAUAUGGGAGCAUCAUACAAUUCAAACGAUAUUGAUUCGCAAGUUGCUGGUGGGAAGAUUGCUGCUUCAGCAGAAUCUGGCAUUACUGGCAAACCAGGUACUCUCAAAGAAAUGAUAUCUGGUCAUUGCAUGUUAUUACCUGACAACUGAUUUUGUUUGUAAAAGUCUGCUUCUUCAUACAUAUGAAUGCAUAUGUUAGUGUUUUUCUUCCUUUUCAUACAUAUGAAUGCAUAUGUUGCUUCUUUUCCUUUCCAUACAUAUUAAUACAUAUGUUGGUGUUCUCUCCUGAGAUGGAUGCAAUAAAGGUUUUUCUGAAGAAAUGGCAAGGGAUGUGAGAUUCUGUCUCAUAAAAUUAACAAAAACCCAAAACAAUGAAAACCCAUAAUAAUGUGGUGUGGGUAAAUUGACGCCAUUUGGUUCGUUUCCUUGAUGUGAAUACGCGGGCAAUAGAGACUAACAAAAUGAAGUGACAACAAGAAGUCAGUGUCCUUUGAUGGAUGCAUUUUUAGGCAGAAAUAGGUUUGUAAUUGACCAAAUUUGUCUGGCAUGCCAAUUUCAAAAAAAAUUAAAUUAUGUGGUUAUUAGCUGUAAUGAAAGGGGGAUUGUAGGUCCAAUCAGGUGGAUCCAUGAAAGUUCAACAAAGUUCUGGUAUGGCGUAGAAAUUGGUUUGUGCAACUCAAGAGUCUUUCUGGUGAACGAUGAUGGGUUUUGAUUUUAUAAAUGUUAUAAAUCUACUGUGCAUAGUAUUCUAGUAGAAUCAUCUAUAAGUUCUAGUUAUUGAAAUUGUCUACCUUGUUCAGUUUGAGUUAAGGGCACAUGUAAUAUGAAAAAUAGUUGUUGCAUCUUUUAGGUUACCUAACAUUUGAUCAAUCCUAUUAUGAGGCUUCAAGAUGUCUAACAAUAUGUGGAAUGCCCAUGCUCCUCCCCAUUGUUUAUCUUAUAUAAUAAUUUGUUUUAGAUGCUAAUAUCUUUGUCGAUACCGGUAACAAUAUUACAAUAUCUGCGUUUAUUGGGUUUUACAUAGGUUCGACUGUUUGACAGUACACACUCUCUGAAGGCAUUUGGAAAUGGAGAUGUAUGGAUUGCUGUUGGGUGGAGUAGUGAUGUUCUUCCUGCUGUCAAACGUUUGUCUAAUGUUGCAGUUGUUGUUCCCAAGUCUGGUGCUAGCUUAUGGGCUGAUCUUUGGGUAUACCCAUGCCUGCCAUUCUACUUCAAUAUUCACAUUGUUAUCUCCUUCAUAUUAGUGAUCAGUAAACAUGAUAAUGUGACUAAUAAGUUCGUAUUCUCUUUAUAGGCAAUCCCUGCUGACUCAAGACUUGAAACAAAACAAAUUGGAGGGUGAGUCAGAGGUGCAUUUCCAUUAAUCCAUCAAUGGAUAGAAUUCUGCUUGCAAACAGCGAGAGCAUUGCCUUUCAAGCAAGAGGUUAUCCCGAGCGCAUCUCCCUCUGCCUUGAGAGUACUCUGGUUAAGUUGCCUGAAGAACUUUUGAAGGGUAAACCAAGUCUGGAUACUAACUUAAUUGCUGGAGUACCCCUGACGGAAAUUCUGGCCAGAUGUGAGUUUUUGGAGCCAUUAUCUGAAGCUACAUUGUCGGAUUAUGAGUGGCUGGUUGCUAAUCUGCAAAAAUCCACUCCUGUACUGAUCAACAAGAUGCAACAUUACAUGUCAUCAUUGAUCUUUAGCUAAAGGUACAUUGAAAAGUUAAUGGCACUGCAUACCAGUCAUUAUAAUUGGGUCAGGGCAAUUGGGUCAGGGCAAUUAGGUCAGAGCAUAACUUCAUUAGGAAAAGAGGCUUCAGCUACGUUAAAUAUUACAGGAUGUACUGAGAUGGCUGAAGUUGGUGAGGUUUUACGAGAAACGAAAGAUAGUGUUUGUUUGAACAAAGUUGUUGCCAAUCUUGCAGAGUUCGAGAAGAAAGAUCACGAAGCGAAUGCCACCGAUUUCUUCAUCAUUGUAGCCUCCAUAGUUGAAGUUUCCUCAUUUGAAGCUGUUUAUGCAUAUGCUUUUUCCCUUCUCAAGUACAGGAAAUUGAAGAAUUAACCAGAUGUGAUAUGCUGAAAGAGGGAAGUUUUCUUCCUUGAAUGUGACCUUUGUGAUUUGUCUUGAAGGGAUAGGGUGAUCACUGGCAAGAACCCUAUCAAGGUAGAUUUUAUGAUGUUAACAUAUUAUUAAGCAUUUUGUUACAUCAGCAAUGAUGCUUUCAUAGCAUGAAAGUGUUUAAAUUUAACUGAAUGAUCUUGAUUGAUCAAUUAUGAGUUUUAAUCGAGUAAAAACUAAAUACAAUAAUCGUUAACAAAUAUUGAAAUUGGGUAAAUAAGAUCUUGAUAGUGAAGAAUUUGAAAUCACACCCACACAGGAAAUCACCCUUCGCGUGGGGAUGGAGAUGUUUACUGCAGCGAUAUUGAAUAUGUCCACUGCUGGACUAAUUCUGAUUACCUAAUUGACUCAGGAUCGGCUGGCAAUAAUAACAGUUUAUUAACAAUGCACAGUCCGAGUACUUUUCCAGGAUCAGAUACGACGUGGUCUAAUGUUGAUAAUAAUAGAUUAUCAAAUGACAAAUCGUUGUUCUACUAUUGCAAGCCCCCAGAUUUAAGAAUCUUUUUCAGAAAUUAAAUACAUUCUGAGAGAUGCUGGUCUACUAUUGCAAGCCCCCAGAUUUAAGAAUCUUUUGACGGUAAUUUAUCACCUGUAACUGUGCCGGAAGAUUCAACUAGCACUGAAAAAGAUGAUAAAUUAAUUGAUAUGGAGAGUUUUCAUAUCACUUUUAAAUCAUCUUAUGUAAUUGUGAUGUUAGGAAGCAUUAGUGAUCUAUAUGUGAAUUAUUAUUGGCGCCAUUGGUGGUUUUAUCUUGUUAAAAUAUGGAUGAAUUCCAGUUACUAUUUUGUUGCAGACAAUCUUCUUCAAUUAACAUAUGGUUUAAAAUCAUUAUGUAAAUCAAUCUAUUAAUUUUCAAGAUAUUUAACUGAGUUAAAACUAAGUGCACUCAAUAAAUCUCUUUUCCUUUAAAAAACUGUUACGCUUUGAUUUUAGUGCUUAAUAUUUAUUGAACUCCGAUACAGGGAAUUUGAAAUCAAACUCGUAACUACAUAUUAUCUAAUUGCAAGUUUCUAUCCAUAGCUGCUGAUUUGUAGUGAUUAUCUAAUUGACUGAGGUGACGACAAUUUUUUUUUUUUUAAAUUUUCAAUAGCACAAUGUGGAAUUCAAUAAUUAAAUUCUCCUUUUUAAUUUGUUUCCAGUUAAAUUAUUAAUUACUUAAACUCUGUUUUAAGUCUUUAAGUUUAUGUGUUUAUGCAGAAUUGGAUUCUUGAGCGUGUUGGACACGACCAACAAUGAAAUUGACAGUAAAAAAAACAAUACAACGUGUGGACUCCGGUAGAUGCCAUACAAGUCUACAACUUUACAAAUAAUAAUUGAGUAAGCAACUUUGAUUCUCGGGGCCCUUCAAUGAAUUUCUAGCCCCGUUGACUCCGCCAACUAAAGUUUGUAAAAUAAAAAAAUACAUAGAAUUCCACUAAAUGCAAAACGCGUGGAAUUUAAUUUUCGGCCAUGUGGACCAAAACAUAAUUUAAUGAAAAAGGAAAAAAAUGAUAAGAUUUCUAAAAUAUGUGAAAGAUGAUCCAUAUUUUACUGAAACGACUUAUUAAAUUUUUCAAAGAUUUAGAAUAUUUAGUCAUAAAUUACGUGCAUGUUAAUUUUUCCGCCAUUGACUAUCAUAUUCUAAACUUAAUAGUACAUUUCUUGUUGAAGGGUACUUAAUCUCUCUUCUCCUCUUAUAAAAAUUAUAUUGAUGGAUUUCUUGUUAUAGUUAAUAGUCUUUAAGAACGGAUAACUUUAUUGUUUUCGUGACCAAAUUAUGUCCGCCUAAGGUUGUGACUAUUAAUAAAAUUAAUAUUUAAUGUUUAUGUUAAAAGAUAUAAGAUUUUAUGCGUUCAUUAAUUGUUAUUAGCUAAAGGAUGAAUUAUUUUUUCAACCCAAUCAGUUGAUGCAUCUGCAAGAGUUUUUUCUUUUAUUGACCAUAAUUAUGUUCCGGGUACAAUAAAUUGUCUUUGGUGCUUGGAAAAUAUGACUUCUUACUUCAAGUUUGAUAUGUCUCUCUCCAUAAACUUACUGGAAAUAUAUCCUCAUCUACUGUCAUUUAUCUAAUAUCAAUUGAAGAUCUCACUUUUUCAAACUAUCACUUCCAAGUCUCAUUGUCACUUGGCCAUUCUUGGACCAUUCAAAACCAAUCAAGUGUUGAAAUAAUCAAAUAUAUGCAAAAUUAGAGUCACGAUUUUUGGUCCCCCAAAUUCUAAUUAUAUAACUUCUAUAUAUUUCAUUGCCAGGUCACGAACUUGUUGGCACAUUUUCCAAAUUCCUCUUCCAUCAGCUCUCACACGUUAACUUAAGUGAAAAGUUUCCAAGUUGAUUGCUAGAAAGCAACGCAAAAUCAGACACACUUGAUCUGUCCCCUAAUUCUCUUUUCUACGUUGAAAAAGAAAAAAAAAAAUAAAAUACAUACAUACAUAUAUAUAUAUAUAUAUAUAUAUAUAUAUAUAUAUAUAUAUAUAUAUAUCUAUGUAAAAAUAAAUAAUAAACUGAGUAAAAGUACAUUUGUUUAAUUAACAUCUGAUCGGGGCAUUUUUGGUGUAAGCCACAACUAAAAUCAAACAGCCCCUUAGCAUACUUCUUCCAUUUUAUCGGCUACUUUUGUGGAUCUUAUAGGGUGGGCAUGUGGACAGAAUUUAAAAGUUUUAAUAGGCUCAAAGAAGAAGAUGUGUUAAAUCUAAAGUUGUUGCACCUUCUGAUUAAAUAAAGUUGUACAAUUUCAUCAACUUGAAAGAAUUGACAUUAAUGAACUGGUCGCCUCUCCAUGUAUGAAGCCUUCUUAAAAGUUAAUUUUUAUUUCAGAAAAAAAAAGUUUAAGUUACAUAUAUUACAGUAAGAUUUUUUGAGACCAAUUCCCUUCUUGAAAUAAUAAUAGAAAAGUAUUAAUUUAAAAAUAAAAUGAAUAUGUAUUGAUUAUAUCCUGAUUUUCAUCGAUUAUAGUUAGAGUUUCACCAAAUCAAUUCCCUUAUUCAAAUAAUACAGAAAAAAUAGUAAUUUAAUAGUAAAAUAAACAGGUGUUGAUUAUAUAUCCUAAGUUUCAUCGAUUAUGUGAUCAAAGUGGCAUUGUUGAUUUAUUUUUUGUUCAAUGUUAAUUUUUAGGUUAUAUAAAUUUCAAGGAUUUAAAAUCUUUGGCCAUGAAUUACACGCUUGUUAAUUUUCCUGCCAUUGACUGUCAUAUUCUAGACUUAAUGAUACCUUUCUUGAUCAAGGGUAAUUACUCUCUCUUCUCCUCUUAUAAAUUCCUCUUCCAUUAACAUCACUAGGAGUAUGUUGAUCUCUCAGACGUUAACUUGAGUGGAGAGUUUCCAAAUUGAUUGUUACAAAACAACACAAAAACUAGACACACUUGAUCUGUCUAAUAAUUCUCUUUCGGUAAAAUUAAAUAAUUUUAGGGGAAUAUUCGGCCAACCUCUAUAAUUUCAUAGUGAUCAUUAAUUAAUUAAUCGAUACAAAUAUCUAAAGUGAUUAAAUGUGACUUGAAAUUUGAUCUCUAUCGAUUGGUUUACAAAUGGACGUACUUGUGCCUUUGUGGCGAUAAUCGAACAAGUACCCAUGAUUAUUAUUUUUUCCAAAAACUUUUUUACAACAAAUUCAUCUCGUCAAAAAUUCUAUGUUGCUAACUAACAAUAAUUGAGCACUUGGCCGCAUUGACUCCACGUCUCCACCUCUUUCUAAAUUCUAAGUAAAAACAUGGAAAUGUAAUUUCCACAAAAUGCCAAAUGUGUGGAAUUUAAUUUUUUGCCUUGUGGAUCAAAAUACAAAUGAAAGAAACAGAAGAAAAAAAAGGCCCAAAGACUUCUAAAAGAUGAAGAAGUCUUUGUGCCUUUUUAUAAUGGUGAAUUUUUUUAAAGAAAAAAAAUAACAACAUUUUUAUGGUUUGUUUUGAUAAUCAUAUUUACAUAUACUCUCUAAUUUUCAAAAUGGACACAUAAAUCUUUUUUUUUUACAAAAUAUAUAUUAUUCAUAUUUUUUUUAUUUUUUUAUUAUCAUAUUUUUAUUUAUUAUAAAUGUUUAGAGCAAAUUUUUAGGUUGAAAUAUAAUAAAAAGGUAUAAUUGUUCUCUUAUUAAACACACAUACUUUUAUUAGUUUCUAUCCAUUUGUCAUCUCAAUCUCUCUCAAUUAUUCUUUAUUGCUAGCUCAAAACGCGUUGCUGUUGCAAAUUAUAGCAAAAUGACAAAUAUGGAAAAAAAGGGAAGAAAAUUAAUGCAUGAAAGACUUGGAGAAAACAACAAAAUAAGCCAACUAUGAGCUAGUUGGGUGUAUAAAUUGUUAGAUGUGUUAUAUACAAAUAGCGUAGAGCCCUCUAGUUGGUUCCAGAGACAGAAAGAGCGUGUGUGUUUUUUCACAGUUAGAGAUAUAGUUAGAAUGGGUGGUUCAAAAUCAAAAAUGAUGAUAAUGUUUAUUAUGUUAUUAAUAAUAUUUAAAAGUGGGUGGAGUGAGGGAUGUUUGGAUCACGAGAGAUUUGCUUUUUUGAGACUCAAACAUUUCUUCAAUGAUCCUCUUAAUUCUCUUUACGACUGGGUAGAUGGUGAGGGAGCUACUGAUUGUUGUCAGUGGGAAAGGGUUGAGUGCAGCAACACCACAGGCCGAGUGAUAGCACUGGACCUUUCUUAUAUAUAUUCGGGAGAGUACAGCUGGUAUCUGAAUGCUUCU
Molecule: long non-coding RNA, 32561 nt
Filed under: Citrus maxima (pomelo)
Lineage: Eukaryota; Viridiplantae; Streptophyta; Magnoliopsida; Sapindales; Rutaceae
Description: long non-coding RNA (CMAX_LNC001484)
Source: RNAcentral